Potamilus streckersoni is the source of this 72-nucleotide non-coding RNA. Lineage: Eukaryota; Metazoa; Mollusca; Bivalvia; Unionida; Unionidae. The record is from the annotation of a GenBank genome assembly.
GCUCCUGUGGCCUAGUGGUUAGAGUGUCCGCCUUGGAUGCAUGAUGUCGUUUGUUCGAACCCGGCUGAGUCA